Rattus norvegicus (Norway rat) is the source of this 1213-nucleotide non-coding RNA. The record is from RefSeq and is a predicted model, not a curated record. Lineage: Eukaryota; Metazoa; Chordata; Mammalia; Rodentia; Muridae.
ACUGAAUCCUUGCAGUCUUCGUGCACUCAGCCUGGCGUCUUGAGUAGAGUAAGGUUGUCUCAUAAGACCCGUUUAGAAACCACAACCCAUAAGCUAUCAUUUUAAUCACGAGGUUAUGAGGGGACCCACUUAAAUUAUACACAAAUAUUUGAACUAAUGUGUUGGUACGACAGAAGCAUUCUCGUGCUUAGUAUGUAAAUAUUUGCCCCUUGAAGAAGCAGUAGCAUUCACAGAAGUAUUUUCGAAUUAAUCUCAUUUUUACCAAUGGCCAGGGUGCUAGUGUUAGAGGUGAUCUGUGGUUUUAAAUGUCACAGAAGGUAUUUCUUUUCUAAAAUUAAGUCGUCAAAUUUUUGAAAUGAUUAAAACAUACCUUACCUUUCAUAUUAGUGUUAUAACAAGUUGUCUAGAAUCAGCUUAAAUAUGCACACAUACACACGCACAUGUGCAUAUCCAUGCACACACACACAAAUAAUUGCUAAGAAAAUAAUACCCAGUUCAGUGUAGUAUUACAACUUGAUUGAUAUAAUCUGUGAUUCCUCAUUUUCUAUCACAUACGUUCCUGUGCAAAAUACUCAUGCUCAUACUUACACUUUAAAUCUGUUUUGGAAAGCAGCAUAAGAAGAAGAGAGAGUGACAUUAGAAACACUGUUACGAAUGGCCUUAUAACGUGAUUCGCUAUAAAUUAUGAGCAGUUUACUGAAGAAGCUUGUAAUGACAGUUGAUGAUACAGGAGAGGAGGAAGGACUUCAACAUGGGUGAAGACAAAGAAGAGGUCAUUGUCUUAAGCAAGCAUCGGUUUCCAGGAGGAACAAGACCCCUCUGCAUAUGAGGGAAUUGUCUUGAGAGAAUAAAGCGGUACGCAACAGAAGUACUCAUCUAGAAACCAGGUCCAAAUAAAUCAGGCAUACGUCAGACUGAAAAGGCUAAAACUUGGACAUAUUUGACAAGUCUUACAUUAGAUGGAACAAGGACCCAGAGGAUCAAUGAAUGGAUGAGUAGAGGAAAGGAAUCAAUAAGUAAAUGAUUAGAAGAAAGGAAUCAAUGAAUGAAUGAGCAGAAGAAAGCAACAGUGAGAACAGAGGACAAUCAAGCUCUGGUGCCUUCUUACCUAAGGCCAAGUUCGAAAUAUUCAUGUAUACACUGUUGGAAUGCUUUGUGUAACAGAUAGAAUAAAGAGAUGAAACAUGUGACUUACAAUAAAGGUCCAGUGACA